ACGAGGUUUGGUCAGUUUGCGGUGGUGCUUGCAUCACCAAUUACCCAUUAAACCGAGUGGCGGACGGGUGAGUAACACGUGGGUAACCUGCCCUUCAGCAGGGGAUAACAUUUGGAAACAGAUGCUAAUACCGUAUAACCACGGAGACCGCAUGGUCUCCGGGUAAAAGAUGGCGCAAGCUAUCACUGAAGGAUGGACCCGCGGCGUAUUAGCCAGUUGGUGGGGUAACGGCCUACCAAAGCGAUGAUACGUAGCCGACCUGAGAGGGUAAUCGGCCACAUUGGGACUGAGACACGGCCCAAACUCCUACGGGAGGCAGCAGUAGGGAAUCUUCCACAAUGGACGCAAGUCUGAUGGAGCAACGCCGCGUGAGUGAAGAAGGCUUUCGGGUCGUAAAACUCUGUUAUUGAAGAAGAACGUGUGUGACAGUAACUGGUCAUGCAGUGACGGUAUUCAAUCAGAAAGUCACGGCUAACUACGUGCCAGCAGCCGCGGUAAUACGUAGGUGGCAAGCGUUGUCCGGAUUUAUUGGGCGUAAAGCGAGUGCAGGCGGUCUUUUGAGUCUGAUGUGAAAGCCUUCGGCUUAACCGAAGAAGGGCAUCGGAAACUGGGAGACUUGAGUGCAGAAGAGGAGAGUGGAACUCCAUGUGUAGCGGUGAAAUGCGUAGAUAUAUGGAAGAACACCAGUGGCGAAGGCGGCUCUCUGGUCUGUAACUGACGCUGAGGCUCGAAAGCGUGGGUAGCAAA
This 747-nucleotide ribosomal RNA is filed under the name uncultured bacterium. Its description in RNAcentral is "bacterial SSU rRNA". It matches the Rfam family "Bacterial small subunit ribosomal RNA", at positions 66 to 772 of the family's 1533-position model. The record is from RNAcentral.